AUUGAACGCUGGCGGCAGGCCUAACACAUGCAAGUCGAGCGGAUGAAGGGAGCUUGCUCCUGGAUUCAGCGGCGGACGGGUGAGUAAUGCCUAGGAAUCUGCCUGGUAGUGGGGGAUAACGUCCGGAAACGGGCGCUAAUACCGCAUACGUCCUGAGGGAGAAAGUGGGGGAUCUUCGGACCUCACGCUAUCAGAUGAGCCUAGGUCGGAUUAGCUAGUUGGUGGGGUAAAGGCCUACCAAGGCGACGAUCCGUAACUGGUCUGAGGGGAUGAUCAGUCACCGGGAACCUGGAAACGGGCCCCACCCCUACGGGGGGGCAGGGGGGGGAAAUUUGGGAAAAGGGGGGAAACCCUAGUCCAGCCAUCCCGGGGUGGUGAAAAGGGGUUGCGGUUUUUAAAGCCUUUUAAGUUGGGGGAAAGGGAGUUAAUUUAAACCCUGGCUGUUUUACGGUUCCCAAAAAAAAAGCCCCCGCCAAACUUCGG
Molecule: ribosomal RNA, 483 nt
Filed under: uncultured bacterium
Lineage: Bacteria
Description: partial 16S ribosomal RNA
Rfam family: Bacterial small subunit ribosomal RNA
Source: RNAcentral